GACGAACGCUGGCGGCGUGCUUAACACAUGCAAGUCGAACGGAAAGGCCCUGCUUUUGUGGGGUGCUCGAGUGGCGAACGGGUGAGUAACACGUGAGUAACCUGCCCUUGACUUUGGGAUAACUUCAGGAAACUGGGGCUAAUACCGGAUAGGAGCUCCUGCUGCAUGGUGGGGGUUGGAAAGUUCCGGCGGUUGGGGAUGGACUCGCGGCUUAUCAGCUUGUUGGUGGGGUAGUGGCUUACCUAGGCUUUGACGGGUAGCCGGCCUGAGAGGGUGACCGGCCACAUUGGGACUGAGAUACGGCCCAGACUCCUACGGGAGGCAGCAGUGGGGAAUAUUGCACAAUGGGCGGAAGCCUGAUGCAGCAACGCCGCGUGCGGGAUGACGGCCUUCGGGUUGUAAACCGCUUUCGCCUGUGACGAAGCGUGAGUGACGGUAAUGGGUAAAGAAGCACCGGCUAACUACGUG
Molecule: ribosomal RNA, 468 nt
Filed under: uncultured bacterium
Lineage: Bacteria
Description: partial 16S ribosomal RNA
Rfam family: Bacterial small subunit ribosomal RNA
Source: RNAcentral